UAAAAUAGCAACAAUACUAGGUAAGUGAAGAUUUCCUUGAGCAGGGACAGUGACAUUGGAGGUUUGACGUUUGAAGCAGGUUGAUAAGAUGUUGCAACUAACAUUUGGGAAAAAAAAUUUCUUCUAAUAAGCUAACUUCAUGGAGGAAACCAACGUCAAAACCCGACCUCAUCCUCUCUAUAUGUUCGAACACCUGGAUAACCCAAUUACAUAGGCAUCUUAGGCUAAAUCAUCAAAUGUUGGAAACUUCCUUCUACUCUUCGACCAUCUUGGUAGCUCGAGCACCUCUUUAUCAGGUCAUUUUUCUUCUUUGAAGCCCUUUUUUUUCUAAUUUAGCAUGGGCAUUGGCCUUCUUUCCCCAUAUCUUCGUAGCCUCAAGUUUUAGCUUGCAAACUACAUCAGAACAUUCCUUAUAAGCCAAGGUAUUUUCCAACUUCUUUUCUCUCUCGACCGCAUCUUACUUUCAUCUAUGUGAAGCUUGUUUAGCUUCAACAACUCGCUACGUGGCCAGAAUCUCGUCCCUUAGCUUCACCGCAUUCUCCAACUCCGAUUUUAGCUGCAACAUGC
RNAcentral lists this long non-coding RNA (567 nucleotides) under Olea europaea subsp. europaea. The record is from RNAcentral. Lineage: Eukaryota; Viridiplantae; Streptophyta; Magnoliopsida; Lamiales; Oleaceae.